RNAcentral lists this long non-coding RNA (396 nucleotides) under Mytilus galloprovincialis (Mediterranean mussel). The record is from RNAcentral. Lineage: Eukaryota; Metazoa; Mollusca; Bivalvia; Mytilida; Mytilidae.
UUUUUAGCUCACCUGGCCCGAAGGGCCAAGUGAGAUUUUCUCAUCACUUGGCGUCCGUCGUCGUCGUCGUCGUUAACUUUUACAAAAAUCUUCUCCUCUGAAACUACUGGGCCAAAUUAAACCAAACUUGGCCACAAUCAUCAUUGGGGUAUCUAGUUUAAAAAAUGUGUCCGGUGACCCGGUCAACCAACCAAGAUGGCCGCCAUGGCUAAAAAUAGAACAUAGGGGUAAAAUGCAGUUUUUGGCUUAUAACUCAAAAACCAAAGCAUUUAGAGCAAAUCUGACAUGGGGUAAAAUUGUUUAUCAGGUCAAGAUCUAUCUGCCCUGAAAUUUUCAGAUGAAUCGGACAACCCGUUGUUGGGUUGCUGCCCCUGAAUUGGUAAUUUUAAGGAAAUU